AACCUAACCAAACUCCGAAUACCUGCGAGUGCUAUCUGGGAGACAGACGGCGGGUGCUAAGGUCCGUCGUCAAAAGGGAAACAGCCCUGACCUACAGCUAAGGUCCCCAAGUCACGUCUAAGUGGGAAAGCAUGUGGGAAUCCCAAAACAACCAGGAGGUUGGCUUAGAAGCAGCCAUCCUUUAAAGAAAGCGUAACAGCUCACUGGUCUAAACAAGGGUUCCUGCGGCGAAGAUGUAACGGGGCUCAAGACGUGCACCGAAGCUUAGGGUGUGGAUUUAU
Molecule: ribosomal RNA, 281 nt
Filed under: Enterococcus faecium
Lineage: Bacteria; Bacillati; Bacillota; Bacilli; Lactobacillales; Enterococcaceae
Description: partial 23S ribosomal RNA
Rfam family: Bacterial large subunit ribosomal RNA
Source: RNAcentral